This 327-nucleotide ribosomal RNA is filed under the name uncultured eukaryote. Its description in RNAcentral is "partial 18S ribosomal RNA". It matches the Rfam family "Eukaryotic small subunit ribosomal RNA", at positions 1470 to 1796 of the family's 1831-position model. The record is from RNAcentral.
CCCUUAGAUGUUCUGGGCCGCAUGCGCGCUACACUGACGAAUGCAACGAGCUUAUAACCUUGGCCGAAAGGUCUGGGUAAUCUCCAAAUUUCGUCGUGAUGGGGAUAGAUUAUUGCAAUUAUUAAUCUUCAACGAGGAAUGCCUAGUAAGCGCAAGUCAUCAGCUUGCGUUGAUUACGUCCCUGCCCUUUGUACACACCGCCCGUCGCUCCUACCGAUUGAAUGGUCCGGUGAAGCGUUCGGACCGUGGCCUUUGGACGGUUCGCCGUCUGUUGGCUGCGGGAAGUUCGUUAAACCUUAUCAUUUAGAGGAAGGAGAANUCGUAACA